This is a long non-coding RNA of Glycine soja, 956 nucleotides long. RefSeq lists it as uncharacterized. The record is from RefSeq and is a predicted model, not a curated record. Lineage: Eukaryota; Viridiplantae; Streptophyta; Magnoliopsida; Fabales; Fabaceae. The transcript is spliced from 3 exons.
UUGGCGGUGCGGUGAAUUUGGAGGAGGGACUUAGAAACUGAAGGAGGCUCUCCAAAUCUUGAAUUCUCCUUCCCCUUCUUCCCCUACUGUCCUAAGACCUUCACUUUGUUUUGCUCCCAACCCCACUCCUCCUCGGUCUUUCCUCUCAUUUAUGUAUCCAAGAACGACGCCGACUCUAAAUCACUCUAUGUCAAUUUGGAUGAUAAUGUGAGUCACCAGAAAGAAAGGUUCUUUUUGGUUUUCCAUACCUCAGAUUGAGUUAGAUGAGCUGGAAAGUGUUUCCAUUCUGUCAAUGACCCUUGCAUGGGAUGAAUUUUCCUUCUCUACUUUUCAAGAAGCCCAUUAUUCGCUUCAAGAUUCUCUAGACCAGUUUUUACACCUUUGUGAAUGAAAAAAGGGAAUCUUUCAUUAUGGUUUGGUUGGGCCUUUCUCUUUGUUUUCUAUAAUCUAGAGGAUCCUUAUCUUCUUGGGUUCUGAAAAAAUAAAAACAUCAACUCCCUCCUGUAUUUAUGCUUGAUGUUAUUUCCUACGGUGUGGGUUAUGUGUCAUGUCUGGUCUACGAUUGACACAUGUAAAUCCAAAUGCACUAGAGCUGCUCUCAAAAAUCUCAAUUUGGUAGAAGAUAGAUAUAUUCCAAGGGUACAAGCUCAUUUCUUUCCUAAGAAUAUGUAAGUUUUACUUGCAACUAGUUGUUACUUCCCUGAAUUCCUUGUCCAAAAGUCAAUGAUGAAUGUAACCAUGGUUUUCUUGAACUGAGAAGCAUAUUGGGUCAACAUUUUGUCUGAGUUAGUGUGUAAAGCAAAAGAACUAGUGCAAGCAUACAAGCUUCAAAAUGUAGUUAAGACUGCAGACAACUUCUGUUCAUGUUUGAAGCUUGAUAGAAACACAGAUGUUAGCUAUAGUAAUAUGAGGAAGGCUGCUUCUUGGGAAGAUUUGACUGACAACUAUUUAUUCUG